RNAcentral lists this ribosomal RNA (469 nucleotides) under uncultured bacterium. RNAcentral's name for it is "partial 16S ribosomal RNA". It matches the Rfam family "Bacterial small subunit ribosomal RNA", at positions 28 to 507 of the family's 1533-position model. The record is from RNAcentral.
GACGAACGCUGGCGGCGUGCUUAACACAUGCAAGUCGAACGGAAAGGCCCUGCUUGCAGGGUGCUCGAGUGGCGAACGGGUGAGUAACACGUGGGUGAUCUGCCCCUUACUUUGGGAUAAGCCUGGGAAACUGGGUCUAAUACUGGAUAGGACCAUGCUGUAGGUGGUGUGGUGGAAAGAUUAGUUUCGGUAAGGGAUGAGCUCGCGGCCUAUCAGCUUGUUGGUGGGGUAAUGGCCUACCAAGGCGUCGACGGGUAGCCGGCCUGAGAGGGUGGACGGCCACAUUGGGACUGAGAUACGGCCCAGACUCCUACGGGAGGCAGCAGUGGGGAAUAUUGCACAAUGGGCGCAAGCCUGAUGCAGCGACGUCGCGUGGGGGAUGACGGCCUUCGGGUUGUAAACUCCUUUCAGCCAUGACGAAGCCCUUGUGGUGACGGUAGUGGUAGAAGAAGCACCGGCUAACUACGUG